This 65-nucleotide transfer RNA is filed under the name Dipodomys ordii (Ord's kangaroo rat). It matches the Rfam family "tRNA". Rfam says of the family: Transfer RNA (tRNA) molecules are approximately 80 nucleotides in length. Their secondary structure includes four short double-helical elements and three loops (D, anti-codon, and T loops). Further hydrogen bonds mediate the characteristic L-shaped molecular structure. tRNAs have two regions of fundamental functional importance: the anti-codon, which is responsible for specific mRNA codon recognition, and the 3' end, to which the tRNAs corresponding amino acid is attached (by aminoacyl-tRNA synthetases). tRNAs cope with the degeneracy of the genetic code in two manners: having more than one tRNA (with a specific anti-codon) for a particular amino acid; and 'wobble' base-pairing, i.e. permitting non-standard base-pairing at the 3rd anti-codon position. Lineage: Eukaryota; Metazoa; Chordata; Mammalia; Rodentia; Heteromyidae. The record is from Rfam by way of RNAcentral.
GGUGGCUCAAUGGUAGAGUGCUUGCUUUGCAUGCAUGAGUCCCUGGGUUCAAUUCCUCAGCACCA